This 279-nucleotide unclassified non-coding RNA is filed under the name Hevea brasiliensis (rubber tree). Lineage: Eukaryota; Viridiplantae; Streptophyta; Magnoliopsida; Malpighiales; Euphorbiaceae. The record is from RNAcentral.
GUUGUGAACACAAGUAAUCAGAAUCCAUCUUGUUCAAAGGAGGAUAAGAUGCUUCAUCUGUAAAAUUUUGAUCAUCCCGGAAUGAUGCUGGUUAGCUCACCUUUGACUGGAAAUAAUUACCUAACAUGGAGCAGAUCCAUGAUAAUUGCAUUAAAAGCAAAGGAAAAAUUGGGUUUUAUAAACGGCAAAUACAAUAUGCCAGAUCCAAAUUUAGAAAAUUAUAAGGAAUGCCAGAAGGUAGACAAUAUGGUAAUUUCUUGGAUUUUACAUGCACUUUCU